This 253-nucleotide ribosomal RNA is filed under the name uncultured bacterium. RNAcentral's name for it is "partial 16S ribosomal RNA". It matches the Rfam family "Bacterial small subunit ribosomal RNA", at positions 524 to 776 of the family's 1533-position model. The record is from RNAcentral.
UACGUAGGGGGCAAGCGUUGUCCGGAAUUAUUGGGCGUAAAGAGCGCGUAGGCGGUCCGAUAAGUCGGCUGUGAAAGUCAGGGGCUCAACCCUUGAAAGCCGGCCGAUACUGUCGGACUAGAGUCCGGAAGAGGCGAGUGGAAUUCCUGGUGUAGCGGUGAAAUGCGCAGAUAUCAGGAGGAACACCUAUUGCGAAGGCAGCUCGCUGGGACGUAACUGACGCUGAGACGCGAAAGCGUGGGGAGCAAACAGG